RNAcentral lists this ribosomal RNA (440 nucleotides) under uncultured bacterium. RNAcentral's name for it is "partial 16S ribosomal RNA". It matches the Rfam family "Bacterial small subunit ribosomal RNA", at positions 338 to 795 of the family's 1533-position model. The record is from RNAcentral.
CCUACGGGCGGCAGCAGUGGGGGAUAUUGCACAAUGGGGGAAACCCUGAUGCAGCGACGCCGCGUGGGUGAAGAAGCGCCUCGGCGCGUAAAGCCCUUUCAGCAGGGAAGAAAAUGACGGUACCUGAAGAAGAAGCCCCAGCUCACUACUUACCCGCAUCCGCUGUAAACCUUAAGGGGGCAGCGUUAUCCCGAUUUACUGGGUGUGAAAGGGGCACAAGCGGGUGUGCAAGUCAGGAGGGAAAGCCCGGGGCACAACCCCGGGACUGCAAUUGGAACUGCGUUGCUAGAGUGCAAGAGAGGCAGGCGGAAUUACUGGUGUAGCGGUGAAAUGCGUAGAUAUCAGGCAGAACACCGGUGGCGAAGGCAGCAUGCUGGCUUGCAACUGACGUUGAGGCACGAAAGCGUGGGGAGCAAACAGGAUUAGAUACCCUUGUAGUC